UCAAACUUGGUCAUUUAGAGGAAGUAAAAGUCGUAACAAGGUCUCCGUAGGUGAACCUGCGGAGGGAUCAUCAUAGAAAUCAAAUUUGAACAAAAGGUUGGCCUUUGUUUUUAGAGGGAAGGUCUCCUUUUGGGCAAACAAAACAAACAAUUUACAUGACUAGGAAAACAAAAAAGAUUGGCUUGGCUUGGGUUUUUGGUUGGAUACAACACAAAAGUUCUUGUCUGACAAGUGGCUUGCUGAUUUGGUGGAGCACAUAAUAAUUGAUACAACUUUCAACAACGGAUCUCUUGGCUCUCACAUCGAUGAAGAACGCAGC
This 319-nucleotide unclassified non-coding RNA is filed under the name uncultured fungus. RNAcentral's name for it is "partial contains small subunit ribosomal RNA, internal transcribed spacer 1, and 5.8S ribosomal RNA". The stretch from base 1 to 73 matches the Rfam family "Eukaryotic small subunit ribosomal RNA", at positions 1759 to 1831 of the family's 1831-position model. The record is from RNAcentral. Lineage: Eukaryota; Fungi.